UUUUUGGUUACUCGGUCUGCCCUGUCGUUGGAUUUUGCAAUUUUCAGAAGGACGCUGGCGGCUUCUUCCAACUUUCCCACGGAGAAAAGCCACCUCGGAGACUCGGGAAGGUAAAACCAGUAGAGGAAUAGCAGUGCUCCAGCCGACAACCAUUCUCUGCAAAACCAAACGACCAGUGGCAAAGUUGCCAUUCCGACCACCCAAAUCAUCCACGUCACGGCAUAAACAUGGCCUCUGUACUCUGUAAGCACACAUAAAACUAUGAAAAGUGACUAACGUGGCAUGGUGAGGUCUCAUUUACACAUAUGUAAAUAAGUCAUAUCAAACGUACUCACCCUUGUCGCAAAUUUCAGCCAGGAUCAUUGACGGGGCAAUAAACAUCUUAAUAUUGCCCAUUGCAAGGAGAGAGCAAUUAUUAGAAAGUAAUACUUAAUGGUUUUAUUAACUGAAGUGUAUUUCAAAUUACCAUUGGAAAAGCAGUCCCAGCAAUAAAUUGGGUAAUAUGAAACAUUA
This is a long non-coding RNA of Folsomia candida, 513 nucleotides long. RefSeq lists it as uncharacterized. The record is from RefSeq and is a predicted model, not a curated record. The transcript has 2 exons. NCBI's taxonomy places the organism in Eukaryota, Metazoa, Arthropoda, Collembola, Entomobryomorpha, Isotomidae.